Molecule: non-coding RNA, 74 nt
Organism: Mycena maculata
Lineage: Eukaryota; Fungi; Basidiomycota; Agaricomycetes; Agaricales; Mycenaceae
Source: the annotation of a GenBank genome assembly
CUCAGCUUAGCUCAGUUGGUUAAAGCAACUCUGUACAAAUGGGAAGGUCCUAGGUUCAACUCCUAGAGCCAUCA